UAAUUGUGAAGUAUAACAACUAAUUUCGGGAUACGAACCGAAACUUCACGCCAACGGUAACUCGGGUAAAUUCUAACUAUUUUGAUAAUAACUUAAAUCACAAUAUAAAUGUCAAAGUAUUUCUUUUUUCUUGUUAGAAGUAAUAUAUAUUUCUUGUGGAUUUCUUGACUGCCUCUGCUGCAGUUUGAAUUUAACUUUACAAACGUAUAGUGAAGCCGUUACGCUUGUUCAAGAUGACAGGAAAGAGACCAUCAAAUGAAAGCCAAAGCAGUAGUGUAAAAAGGAGUCGGAAGGGGAUUACAUUGGACGUUAAGCUUGAUAUCUUACGUAGAUUUGAUGCAGGAGAAAAACUAAGUCACAUAGCAAAAUCGUUAAAGCUUGCAGCAUCUACAGUAGGAACAAUACGCGACAAUAAAGACAAAAUUAGGAAAAUUGCUCAAGCAACCACUCCUUUAACUGCCCGGACGUUGUUUUUCCAUAGAUCUGAUGUAAUGCUGAAGAUGGAACGGCUCCUAAGUGUGUGGAUCAAUGAACAGACCAAACACAAUGUGCCAAUAAGUGCUGUGGUCAUUCAGGCGAAAGCAAAAACUUUGUAUGAACAUUUGCAAGAAAAGGAAGGUGCAACUUCUGUUGUGAAGCCUUUCCUUGCUAGUAAAGGCUGGUUUGAAAGGUUUAAAAAACGUUUUAAAUUGCACAAAAUAAAAAUGAGCAAUGGAGCUGACAGUAUUGGCACCAAUAUUGAUAUAUGUGCUAAUAUAGAAGACACAAUGGCAAAUACCGAAGAUGAUGUAUAUGACGAUAUAGAGGCUGAUACAGAGGUUAAUAUAGAUGAUAGUACAGAGACUAAUAUAAAAAUUCAUUUAGAAGACAGUACUGAAGAUACAAAAAUUCAUAUAGAAGCUAAUGCAGGGGCUGAUAUGGUAGCUAAUACUAGUUAUAUUGAGAAACUAAAGAAGAUGAUUGUUGAAGGAGGCUACACACCAGAACAAGUGUACAAUGUUGAUGAAACUGGACUUUUCUGGAAGCGGAUGCCUACUGGGACUUUUAUUUCCAAUGAAGAAAAAUCAGCACCAGGCUUUAAAGUUUCCAAAGAUCGCCUGACACUUCUUGUGGGAGGAAAUGCUGCUGGUAACAUGAAAUUAAAGCCCCUACUUGUGUAUCACUCUGAAAACCCAAAAGCUUUCAAGGGUUAUGCUAAGUCUAAUCUACCUGUAAUAUGGCGUUCAAAUAAGAAGGCUUGGAUGACUACAAGCCUUUUCCAAGACUGGUUUACAAACUUCUUUUGCCCUGCUAUAGAAAUCUACAGUGCAAAGCGUAAUAUUUCCAACAAGGCAUUGCUACUUUUAGACAAUGCACCAAGCCACCCUGUGAACUUAAAUGAUCUUUCUGAUAAUGUGAGGGUGGAAUUUAUUCCCAAGAACACAGCUUCUUUACUCCAGCCAAUGGAUCAAGGUGUGGUAGCUCUCUUCAAAGCAUAUUACCACAGAAGGAUUUUUAAACAACUCAUAAAAGCCAUUGAUGGUGAGGAUAAAACUACAGUUAGAGACUAUUGGGCAAAGUUUAACAUUAUGAAUGCCGUAGAUAAUAUAGCUGAGUCAUGGAAUGAAAUAAAACUUUCAACAAUGAACAGUGUUUGGAAAAACAUAUGGCCAGACUGUGUCCGUGACUUUACAGAUUUUCCACCGGUAGAAAGUCUACAUCAAGUUCAGCAGGACAUUGUGACACUUGCAAAUAGUGCAGGCUUUGAAGAAGUCAAAGAAAAUGAUGUGAUUGAGUUAUUGGAGUCCCAUGGAGAAAGCUUGUCUAACGAGGAGCUGCUGCUGUUGGAACACGACCGAGCUGCAGAAGAAGAAGAGGAAGAUCUAGAAGCUGCCUCCACCCAGCUUCAGUUGAAUGUCGACCAUUUGGCUACAGGGUUGGCGCUUAUACAGGAAGGUCUCCAGAUCUUUGCUGAUAACGACCCCAAUCGUGAACGCAACAUCAAAGUUAUAAGAGGAGUUCAUAAUGAGCUCAGAUCCUACAUUGAACUGUACAAAGAAAAGUUACGCCAUUAUUCCCAAUAACUUCCAUUGCAUCAUCUUUUACCAUGCAGCAGCAAAAAUUUUUUCUGGUGAGUACAUCUAACAGUUAUAUUUAUUUGUUGUCCUCCUCAUUCUUUACUGUAGUCACACUCAAUGAGUCACACUCAAUGUAGUCACACUCAAUGAGAUUAAUCUUGUGAGUUGCAUAGUUUGUUCAUUCUCGAGCCAUGCCUGGCUCAUAAGGGCCGGUUUCCUGGUUUCUUGGCGUAUAGGUUCCCCACCUGGACGGGACGCCGGUGCAUCGCAGGUGAGCUGCAAGAUGCAGGAGGAAAGAGUGAGUGAAAGUUGUGGCGAAAGAGUCAGCAGAAGUUUCGCCAUUACCUUCUGCCGGAGCCAUGUGGAGCUUAGGUGUUUCGCUCAUAAACACACACAUCGUCCGGUCUGAGAUUCGAACCCGCGGUCCCUCGACCGCGAGUCCGCUGCUCUAACCACUAGGCCAUGUGCCUCCACACAGUUGCAUGGUGACCUCAUUAGUACUGGUGCCUUGAAAAAAACAGCAUCCUGUAUAUGCUGUAUAAUGGCGGCAAGCUGGCAGAAUCGUUAGCACGCCAGACAAACUGCUUAGCGGUAUUUCGUCUGCCGUUAUGUUCUGAGUUCAAAUUCCGCCGAGGUCGACUUUGCCUUUCAUCCUUUCGGGGUCGAUAAAUUAAGUACCAGUUACGCACUGGGGUCGAUGUAAUCGACUUAAUCCGUUUGUCUGUCCUUGUUUGUCCCCUCUGUGUUUAGCCCCUUGUGGGUAGUUAAGAAAUAGGCAUUAGGAAGAGUACCCAGUCAGAAACCAUACCAAAGCAGACAUUGAAAUUCAAUGCAGUCCUCCACCUUGCUAGAUCCUGUCAAACUUUCCAACCCAUGUCAACAUAGAAAACUGACUUUAAAAGAUGAUUAUAUGUAUGUCCUCAUGUGUGUGUGUGUACAUAUAAUUUAAAGUUAGCACAAGGCAUGAGGAUGCGGAAACAGCAUUGACCUGUUUAGAAAUAGGAGCUAAAUUCCGAAUUCAAUUGCCGGAAAGCACCAAAUAACAGAAAAACAAUGAUAGGCGAAGUAUCUAUUCUUUGCCAGUCUUCACACAUUAGAGCAAUGUGAAAUGAAGUGUUUUGCUCAUGAAGACAACAUGCUGCCUCAUCCACAAAUUGGGUCCCACAAUCUAGUAAUCGCGAGUGCAACACCCUAACAACUUGGCUAUGUACCUUCACAUCAUUUAUGAUACACAUACCCAAUUGUUUUUCAGCCGCAAGAGUAACUCAGGACUUAUGAAAGGAAAGCUUUCUAUUACUCAGAACAGCGCCACCCCGACUGGCCUUGUGCUGGUGGCACGUAAAAAGCACCAUCCGAUCGUGGCCAUUGCCAGCCUCGCCUGGCCCCCAUGCCGGUGGCACGUAAAAAGCACCAUCCGAUCGUGGCCAUUGCCAGCCUCGCCUGGCCCCCAUGCCGGUGGCACGUAAAAAGCACCAUCCGAUCGUGGCCAUUGCCAGCCUCGCCUGGCCCCCAUGCCAGUGGCACGUAAAAAGCACCAUCCGAUCGUGGCCGUUUGCCAGCCUCAUCUGGCACGUAAAAAGCACCCACUACACUCACGGAGUGGUUGGCAUUAGGAAGUGCAUCCAGCCAUAGAAACAUUGCCAGAUCAGACUGGGCCUGGUGCAGCCUUCUGGCUUCCCAGACCCCAGUUGAACCGUCCGACCCAUGCUAGCAUGGAAAACGGACGCUAAACGAUGAUGAUGAUGAUAUGAAACAAGGGCUAACUAAAAGACUGGAAACAAGCAUGGACAUUUAGGACAACUUCUGAAAAUGCUUUGGACAGGCCUUGUGAGUUUAAUGUCUUCACAAAAUAUGGGAUUAUGACUGCUAUUACCCAAAAUCUUCAAUUUCUGUCACGUUUUUUCUAUCAUCAUCAUCAUCAUCAUCAUCAUCGUUUAACGUCCGUUUUCCAUGCUAGCACGGGUUGGACGGUUCGACCGGGGUCUGGGAAGCCAGGAGGCUGCACCAGGCUCCAGUCUGAUCUGACAGUGUUUCUACAACUGGAUGCCCUUCCUAACGCCAACCACUCUGUGAGUGUAGUGGGUGCUUUUUACGUGCCACUAGCACAGGUGCCAGGGGAGGCUGGCAACGGCCACGUUCGGAUGGUGCUUUUUACAUGCCACUGGCACAGGUAUCACAAGGAUAUAUAUAAAGAAAACAGAAAAUGGAGAAGUACUGAUGAACAACAAUCGACUCACAUCAAUUACCAUUCAUUAACUUAAAGCAAAUUCAUAUAAUUUCUGUUUUCAUAUAAAUUGGUUGAAUCAUUGUAAGAGCUUUCAAUGUUUAUCAUCUCUUAGCAAACUUACUUAAUUGUAAUCUUUGAUGUGAAUUGAAAUUCUUUAUGCUUUCUUAUGUUCAAUAUUUUCACCAGAUACACAAAUACAUCUACAGAGAACAUGAUGACCUUUACAAGAGGUGAUGUCAGUGGAAUGAAUACCGGAAAAAAUACAAACCAUUCCAAAGCGACGAUGCAGGCGAAAUUGUUCCUUGUAGAUACAAACGGAAAAAUUCCACAGAAAAUUUCUAGCAGAGACCAAUCUGAGAAUCUCAUUCACUGAAUUUUGCUGCUACAUCCUUUUAAAGGUUGUGUACCCCUGUCUGCUUAUGAGACUGUAUGUGCAAACUACACAAGAAUCUAAGCUUUCUGGCAAAAAAGUUUCGUGAACUGAAACUGAUUGGGACUUCUGAUCUAGAGAGAUUUGCCAAACCUGUCUGUUGUGGUACUGCCAGCAGGCGUUGUAUGUAUAGAGUGUAGGAAAAGUACAAAGAGAAAACAGUUCUCUUCUAGAGUACAUAUGACAGUGCUAAAAAAGUGUUCUGUACCCAUUAAGGGACAGGUGAGAAGGUAAACAGAUACUUUCAGGUAGGGUCAAAAAAGAGAAAGGCUAACAGGGGCAACUUGUUGAAUAGUUUUACGUGUGUCUAAGUAAGUUCUAAAAGCUUUUCUUCGGUAUGAAGCAGUAAUAUACCUAUUUCUUUAUUGCCCGCAAGGGGCUAAACAUAGAGGGGACAAACAAGGACAGACAAAGGGAUUAAGUCGAUUAUAUCAACCCCAGUGCGUAACUGGUACUUAUUUAAUCGACCCCGGAAAGAUGAAAGGCAAAGUCGACCUCGGCGGAAUUUGAACACAGAACCUAGCUGUAGAUGAAAUACCGGUAAGCAUUUUGCCCGGCAUGCUAACGAUUCUGCCAGCUCGCCGCCUUAUACCAACUACCAAGAGCUAGGGUCUGAGAGAGCAGGGUCCGUGAGGAAUAUUUAAUCUACCUAGAUUUUUCUGGGAGUUUUAUUUACAAGUGCAAUCAUGAUAUCUAAGCAAUGCACUUUGGAUAAUCUCACAAAGAGGAUACACCACAUUGAUGGGUUUGUUUAUGCAGAUGGUAACCAAGAACAGACCUGCUUCUGCACAAUAUCCUUACCAAAACGCAAAACCUUCUGCAGCUGUAUUGAUUCAUAUGAAUGUUGUGUUGGGUUCUGCAGAAAAAUGUACCCUAAGGUUUCUGUGUUGGUCCUUAUUCCCACCACUUACAGAAGGGCAUUUUUCCUUCUGUCCAGCUGUAGUUUGGAGAUAUGAGGUGUCAAAGCAGAGAUUUGGAAUUUUUGAGGUGUGCCAUAGCACAUGACAUUAGUGUAGCUGUGAAUGGAACUGAGCAAUUGUAGUUUUUCAAAUUCAGGAAAGAUGGUUUUGCAACUUACUGAACAGUCUGCACAAACGAUGUGUUUAUAGCAAUCAAAUGGUUAUGCUGUACAUAAGUUCUCUCCCUUGAUGAAAUUAACAUUACCUGCAUACAGGUAAAUAGGGUAUUUAUACAUCAGAUGACAAAGUAACAUGAAAUGAAGUAUUUUGCUCAAGAGCACAAUGUGCUGCCUGGUCCAAGAAUUGAACCCACAAUCUUGUAAUCGUGAGUGCAACACACUUACCACUUGUGAAAGGUAGGAGAGUCCAGUUUGCUGGGCAAUGUUGUAGAGCUGAAAACGAGGCAAUUUCUACUCUUCUCCUCUGGAAGCCAUCUACUUGCAAUACCAGAGGGUGCACACACUCCUACCCUGAUGUAAUCUCCAGGGAUACAGGCAUCCAGCAACAGGACCUCCGUAAUGCCAUGAUGGACCGUGAAGUCUGGCGUAGCAUGGUAAAUUCCAUUGUCUCGACCACGGUCGAAAUGAUGAUGAUGAUGACCACUUGGCCCCACACCCUUGCUGAAUAACCAACACUCAUACUAAGUUGUUCUUUAUUCAUGAUGAAAUUCUUGAGUGGGUACCUGUAAACUUACCUUGGAACCAUGAGAAUAUAUCAGGAGGAAAUUAAUGAUUCAGGUGAGAUAAUACCUCACGAUGUCAGCUGUAGGUAGCUGUCCCAGAAAGUAUUUCCUUUCUGAGUGUUGGAUUGGAAUAACUAAUAUUUCAGCUAUGCUGUAAAGCUACCACCAUGAUGGUGCCAGCUACUGUGUCACGGGCCAGUCACAAAUCUUUUGAGAAGAUCCUGAAGUGUCAUACCAAGUGUGUACUCUCAUAUGAUGAAGAUUUAUAUGCAGAAGUAAUCCUUGACAGGGACGAACCCCCAUGUUCAAGUUAAAUUCUUGUUACCAUGUUGGACUAAACAAAUUGUUUGGGCCAAUUUGUGAAGAGGAUGUAUCAUGGUGUCUAUUUCCUCAUCAUAAGUUUCAGAUCAUCUCACUAUCAUCAUGAGACAUGGAAGUGUGGCCAGGCUUUUUAAAUAAUGGUAUCCAAUUUUGAUAAAUGGUCAGCAAUCUUAGGGGAGAGAUAAGUCAAUUACAUCAGUGCCGGUGGCACAUAAAAUGCACCAAUCCGAUCGUGGUCAUUGCCAGCCUCGCCUGGCACCUGUGCAGGUGGCACGUAAAAAGCACUCACUACACUCACG
RNAcentral lists this long non-coding RNA (6975 nucleotides) under Octopus vulgaris (common octopus). The record is from RNAcentral. Lineage: Eukaryota; Metazoa; Mollusca; Cephalopoda; Octopoda; Octopodidae.